GUGAAUCAUCAAAUCUUUGAACGCAAAUUGCGCCUUUUUGGAAGGGCAUGUGUGUGUGAGGGUACGAUUUAACAAAUAAUGUGCAGCGUUUUUUGUUGCAAAGGUUGAGGAGUGUUGCAAGAAUUAUAAAUUUUUGGUGGCGCAUAAUGAACAGCGUGAAAGUUUUUUUGAGUUCCAGUGUAGUAAAAUCUUUGCUUGGGUUGUGAAAAAUUAUAAUCGCGCAGUGGGUGUGGCAAUCU
Molecule: unclassified non-coding RNA, 239 nt
Filed under: Paraglomerales sp.
Lineage: Eukaryota; Fungi; Glomeromycota; Glomeromycetes; Paraglomerales
Description: partial internal transcribed spacer 2
Rfam family: 5.8S ribosomal RNA (bases 1-65)
Source: RNAcentral